AUUUGUACAACAAGAGGAGACUAGGAGGAACGCUAUAGUUCACAGAUCUACCAUUGAAAAAGCAGGGUUGAUUGCUAAUUCUGCAAGAGAACAUAUCCAGGCUGCAAAGAAUAGUUUUUCAGAUAGAGAUCAAUUAUUUUGUGACUAUUGCGGUAAGAACAGACACACUAAGGAGUUCUGCUGGAAAUUACAUGGACGCCCAAC
Molecule: long non-coding RNA, 204 nt
Filed under: Jatropha curcas
Lineage: Eukaryota; Viridiplantae; Streptophyta; Magnoliopsida; Malpighiales; Euphorbiaceae
Description: long non-coding RNA (JCUR_LNC000653)
Source: RNAcentral